GGAAUUAAAUGCCAGUACGCUGAUGAACUA
Molecule: non-coding RNA, 30 nt
Filed under: Mus musculus (house mouse)
Lineage: Eukaryota; Metazoa; Chordata; Mammalia; Rodentia; Muridae
Source: RNAcentral